AUUGAACGCUGGCGGUAUGCCUUACACAUGCAAGUCGAACGGUAGAGGGGCAACCCUUGAGAGUGGCGAACGGGUGAGUAAUACAUCGGAACGUGCCCAGUCGUGGGGGAUAACGUAGCGUAAGCUACGUUAAUACCGCAUACGACCCGAGGGUGAAAGCGGGGGACUCGCAAGGGCCUCGCGCGCUUUGAGCGGCCGGUGGCAGAUUAGGUAGUUGGUGGGGUAAGGGCCCACCAAGCCUGCGAUCUGUAGCUGGUCUGAGAGGACGACCAGCCACACUGGGACUGAGACACGGCCCAGACUCCUACGGGAGGCAGCAGUGGGGAGUUUUGGACAAUGGGCGAAAGCCUGAUCCAGCCAUACCGCGUGCGGGAAGAAGGCCUUCGGGUUGUAAACCGCUUUUGUCUGGGAAGAAAUCUUCUGGGUUAAUACCUCGGGAGGAUGACGGUACCUGAAGAAUAAGCACCGGCUAACUACGUGCCAGCCGCCGCCGUAA
Molecule: ribosomal RNA, 496 nt
Filed under: uncultured bacterium
Lineage: Bacteria
Description: partial 16S ribosomal RNA
Rfam family: Bacterial small subunit ribosomal RNA
Source: RNAcentral